GAUGAACGCUGGCGGCGUGCCUAAUACAUGCAAGUCGAGCGAACAGACGAGGAGCUUGCUACUCUGACGUUAGCGGCGGAAGGGUGAGUAACAAGUGGAUAACCUACCUAUAAGACUGGGAUAAAUUCGGGAAACCGGAGCUAAUACCGGAUAAUAUAUUGAACCGCAUGGUUCAAUAGUUAAAGAAGGUUUUGCUGUCACUUAUAGAUGGAUCCGCGCCGCAUUAGCUAGUUGGUAAGGUAACGGCUUACCAAGGCGACGAUGCGUAGCCGACCUGAGAGGGUGAUCGGCCACACUGGAACUGAGACACGGCCCAGACUCCUACGGGAGGCAGCAGUAGGGAAUCUUCCGCAAUGGGCGAAAGCUUGACGGAGCAACGCCGCGUGAGUGAUGAAGGUCUUCGGAUCGUAAAACUCUGUUAUUAGGGAAGAACAAAUGUGUAAGGAACUAUGCACGUCUUGACGGUACCUAAUCAGAAAGCCACGGCUAACUACGUG
This 497-nucleotide ribosomal RNA is filed under the name uncultured bacterium. RNAcentral describes it as "partial 16S ribosomal RNA". It matches the Rfam family "Bacterial small subunit ribosomal RNA", at positions 28 to 507 of the family's 1533-position model. The record is from RNAcentral.